AAAGAAUCAGAAAAAAAAUUAAAAGGAAAGAGAGAGAGCACGGGUAGAACCCGAGUCACCCCCCUCCCAUUUUCUUUUUUCUUCUUCCGUCGCUGCUCUUCCCUUCUCCGGCGAAUUCGUCGCCGUCCGGCCACCCCAAGACGCAUCGUUGGGCACGGCGUGAUCCUCUCUUCCUUCUCCUUCUAGCUAUCUUGUUUUGGGCUGUGGAGGAAGAAUUGAAGGUGUUUGGGGACGUGAACAGUAGCGUGAACAGUUCCAUCCGAGUUCUUGAGUUUGGGUUUGGAAUUUCCAGCUUUUUCUGCUUGUUUUGGAUGUGAUUGCAGGACGUACUGAGCCCUCGAGCGAGGAGGACACAGGCAGGCAGCAGGGUUAGCUGCGAGACUC
Rosa chinensis is the source of this 384-nucleotide long non-coding RNA. RefSeq lists it as uncharacterized. The record is from RefSeq and is a predicted model, not a curated record. Lineage: Eukaryota; Viridiplantae; Streptophyta; Magnoliopsida; Rosales; Rosaceae. The transcript is spliced from 3 exons.